This 253-nucleotide ribosomal RNA is filed under the name uncultured bacterium. Its description in RNAcentral is "partial 16S ribosomal RNA". It matches the Rfam family "Bacterial small subunit ribosomal RNA", at positions 524 to 776 of the family's 1533-position model. The record is from RNAcentral.
UACGUAGGGUCCGAGCGUUGUCCGGAAUUACUGGGCGUAAAGAGCUCGUAGGUGGUUUGUCGCGUUGUUCGUGAAAACUCACAGCUUAACUGUGGGCGUGCGGGCGAUACGGGCAGACUUGAGUACUGCAGGGGAGACUGGAAUUCCUGGUGUAGCGGUGAAAUGCGCAGAUAUCAGGAGGAACACCAGUGGCGAAGGCGGUGGUCUGGGCCGGUACUGACGCUGAGGCGCGACAGCGUGGGGAGCAAACAGG